Molecule: long non-coding RNA, 972 nt
Organism: Phyllopteryx taeniolatus (common seadragon)
Lineage: Eukaryota; Metazoa; Chordata; Actinopteri; Syngnathiformes; Syngnathidae
Exons: 3
Source: RefSeq, a predicted model, not a curated record
AUCUCCCGUCACGGCAUCUGGCAGCUGCCGACGACGUACGUGCCUGAUCACGCCUGGCAUAAAAUGCCAAACGCCGCGUGAGAAGCGAGUGUAUGCUCUCUCGCUAAACAGGUUCCAAAUGGAAUUGAACCUUGAACCUUUCAGAGGUUGGAUGGAGGGGAUAUAGUCUGGUGGAUUGUAAAUCUGACAAGUAAUGGCUCAUCCCGGCCCCAGCCGCAUCCCAUCACAGCCCCCCUCCACCCGCCAUCCCCGCCUCACCCUACCCCGCUGCGUCUCACCGGGAAUAAGGGUGUAAAUUGCGAUGCCCCAGCAAAGGAGGAAUUGAGUCAGAAGGCACUUUAACUGAUGCGGCAGUAAAAACACACAAAAAUAAUAAUAAUAAAAAAAAGGGCGGUAAGACUGGAGAGGAGGGAGGAGAUGAGGCCAAGCCGGUUUUGUGAUGCAGUUUUGUCACCAUUUCGUCUGAAUACAUUUGGUGAUUUACCCAAAAAAAUUACAUUACGGUUACAUGUUUUUUUUAUGGUUUUCCUUUGCUGCCUAAGCCCUAAAAUCUCUGACGUAAUCAAAACCAGUGUAAUGUUUAUCAGCAUUUGCGGUAUUACACCGCCAGUGAAGCAAUGCUGUAUCAGAAAGAGUUGGAAGUCGAUCCUACAACUGUCGAAGAAAUGUGUUGGACGAUAUUGAGAAUUUUCAAACAGUCAACUUCCGUCGAGACCAAUAGGGGCAAUGACCCACCAGAUCCAGCAGAUGAAAAAAAUAGGGUUUUCCUGGCUCAAACUGAAGCAGAGGUAGUACGAUUGUGCUACAAAAAAGGACAAACUCCGACUGCAACGGACAAUCAAAACUGCUGAAAGGAUUGUCGGUAACCCCCUACACACCCUUGAGGACUUGCACGCUGCCAGAACUAAGACAAGAGUGUCAAAAUCCUCUCUGACCCUCCGCAUCCCGAUCACCAGCUCUUCCAGCUCCUUC